CACUUGACCGUGUUCAGGCCAGCAUCGGUUCGGGCGGUGGGAUAAAGGCCUUGGGAAUGUAGCUUCUUUCGGGGAGUGUUAUAGCCCUCGGUGCAAUGCCGCCUGCCUGGACCGAGGACCGCGCUUCGGCUAGGAUGCUGGCGUAAUGGUUGUAAGC
This 157-nucleotide ribosomal RNA is filed under the name Cistella sp. RNAcentral describes it as "partial large subunit ribosomal RNA". Lineage: Eukaryota; Fungi; Ascomycota; Leotiomycetes; Helotiales. The record is from RNAcentral.